This 427-nucleotide ribosomal RNA is filed under the name uncultured bacterium. Its description in RNAcentral is "partial 16S ribosomal RNA". It matches the Rfam family "Bacterial small subunit ribosomal RNA", at positions 355 to 774 of the family's 1533-position model. The record is from RNAcentral.
UGGGGAAUAUUGCACAAUGGGCGCACGCCUGAUGCAGCCAUGCCGCGUGUAUGAAGAAGGCCUUCGGGUUGUAAAGUACUUUCAGCGAGGAGGAAGGCAUUGUGGUUAAUAACCGCAGUGAUUGACGUUACUCGCAGAAGAAGCACCGGCUAACUCCGUGCCAGCAGCCGCGGUAAUACGGAGGGUGCAAGCGUUAAUCGGAAUUACUGGGCGUAAAGCGCACGCAGGCGGUCUGUCAAGUCGGAUGUGAAAUCCCCGGGCUCAACCUGGGAACUGCAUCCGAAACUGGCAGGCUAGAGUCUUGUAGAGGGGGGUAGAAUUCCAGGUGUAGCGGUGAAAUGCGUAGAGAUCUGGAGGAAUACCGGUGGCGAAGGCGGCCCCCUGGACAAAGACUGACGCUCAGGUGCGAAAGCGUGGGGAGCAAACA